GAUGCUCCUCCCAGGUGCGUACUGCUGAGCAAAGGCUUCCACUGGAUCCAUUCAGAGGAGGCUGUAGAGGGGUGAGCUGUCCCAGGAUAUGAGACCCCUAUGGCUGGAAGAUGGGCCGCCCAGGACCCCCAGAGGAGAAGGUCUCCGACACCCAGCUGUCCGGGGCUCCUGGUGGCCCUGGAGAUGCGCUUGGUGACGACAUCGAUGGUACAGAGGAUUCAGACUUGGUGCCCUCUGUCACCCUGGCCGCGGCCCUCAUCCUACUGUUCCUCCUAGUGUCACUCUGGCUGGCUUGGCCACUCUGGCAAGCCUCCUACUAAGCGGAUUCCUGAGUGGAGGGCAGCAGGACCAUUGGGCUUCUAGCCCCACUCUGGGUCGACGACUCUCAAUGCUGUGGGAAAGUGUGGCAGCUCAUGCUCACCCGGUCCACUUCCCUUGAUGCCUGGCUUUACUCAUGUCUCUCAUCUUUAUAAAGCCGUGCUGCGGGCUUCAGAUAAAGCUGAAUGACUUCA
Long non-coding RNA from Peromyscus maniculatus bairdii (prairie deer mouse), 512 nucleotides. RefSeq lists it as uncharacterized. The record is from RefSeq and is a predicted model, not a curated record. NCBI's taxonomy places the organism in Eukaryota, Metazoa, Chordata, Mammalia, Rodentia, Cricetidae.